AUGGUUCAAGAGGAUGUGUUCCAAGUGAAUCAAAAUGGAGAAACAUUGGAGAAGACUAGAAACAAGAUAGACAUAUCUUUCAAGGAUAUGGUCAUGGGAAGAGAUUCUGAGAUCAUGGAGGAAGGAGAUGAGUCAGGAGGCAAGGAAGAAAACAUGGAGAUGAAUAUUCUUGAUCUAGAAAACAUGAAAGUGGAUGAGCAUGUCGAAGGGGGAUAUGUUUGUCCGAAAUUCACAUUUUCAAAACAUGAAGAAUGA
Molecule: non-coding RNA, 255 nt
Organism: Vicia faba (fava bean)
Lineage: Eukaryota; Viridiplantae; Streptophyta; Magnoliopsida; Fabales; Fabaceae
Source: the annotation of a GenBank genome assembly